RNAcentral lists this transfer RNA (61 nucleotides) under Rattus norvegicus (Norway rat). It matches the Rfam family "tRNA". From Rfam's summary of the family: Transfer RNA (tRNA) molecules are approximately 80 nucleotides in length. Their secondary structure includes four short double-helical elements and three loops (D, anti-codon, and T loops). Lineage: Eukaryota; Metazoa; Chordata; Mammalia; Rodentia; Muridae. The record is from Rfam by way of RNAcentral.
GGGGAUUUAGCUCAGUGGUAGAGCGCUUGCCUAGCACUCAAGGCCCUGGGUUCAGUCCCCA